CUUGAUUCCUGACUGUUAUCCAAGACUAGUUUCCAAGCCUCCUUUGGAUUCAGUUCUAGGAUGACUAUCAUCAACUGCUGGAAUGAGACAAAUCCAGUGGAAAUUCACGUGAGCUGUGCCAGUUCCAGGACUGACAAUGUACUCUGUGGAUGAGAACAGAGGUACUGUGGCUGGCUCUCACAGCAUCCCUGGCAGAGCUGAAUCACCUAAAGCCACGUGCAGAACAACUAUCUCCUCUGCACCUGUACCAGUACUCCCAUG
This is a non-coding RNA of Delphinapterus leucas (beluga whale), 261 nucleotides long. Lineage: Eukaryota; Metazoa; Chordata; Mammalia; Artiodactyla; Monodontidae. The record is from RefSeq and is a predicted model, not a curated record.